GUCAAUGUGUUUCUCCCUUUCCAGACCAAACGGAAGAGGCUGAGUGGUCACAGAUGGCGAGGCCUCAUUGAGAGAGAGAAAACACAGGAGAGCGAGAAGAAAGGAUGACUGGAAUUCAGACGUCAACACCAGUUUUUCUGAGAUUGCAAGGAAGACACACACUGCUGCACUUCUGGUGACGCUGAAGCCAAACUGAAUUCCAGAUCCUGUGCCGUGUUCCCUCCCAGACUGUUUUCUGAGGUCAGACC
Long non-coding RNA from Onychostoma macrolepis, 248 nucleotides. RefSeq lists it as uncharacterized. The record is from RefSeq and is a predicted model, not a curated record. The transcript has 3 exons. NCBI's taxonomy places the organism in Eukaryota, Metazoa, Chordata, Actinopteri, Cypriniformes, Cyprinidae.